GGGGGUGAUGGGGCCGAGCCCCGGUGGGCGCCGUCCGGCCGCGGCGGUAAGCGGGGCUGGGCCGCGGGUCUCGCCGCGCCUCUCCUCGAGGGGAGGGCAGGGGAGGAGGGGAUCGGGGAAGGCAGCGCGACCUCCCCGCCCUCCUGCUCGAGAGGCCCGCUCGGACAGCGGCGACGGCGACCGGAGGAUGUCUUUUUCCUCAGUGCUGCCUCGGGUAUAGGUGAGCACCCGAAAUAAACACCCUCGGCCCGAGGUGAGAUAGCAGCGAUGUGCAGCGCCGUGUUGCCGAAGGGUUUUGCUAAGUGACUAACAAAACCUGAACAUCAGGAAGAGCAGGCAACAUUGUCCAUAGUGAGUUAGUGGAUGGCUGAAAUUUGGCUUGACUAUUGAGUUGCUGAAAUGUUUUGCUGCUUGAGAACCGUGAGAAGGUUAUGUGUGGACAAGAUAUUGCUACAGUGUGUUCUUCAGGCAAGAACUUUGUCAGGAGCUGAUGCCAUCAAUGCUCUCAGACCUUUCUAUUUUGCUGUACAUCCAGAUUUCUUUGGCCAGCAUCCCAAAGAGAGGGAAGUAAAUGAAAACUCUCUGAAGAGGUUAAAUGGCUACUUGGAGAACCUACAGAAACCAGGAUUUCGUUCCUUGAAGCCAACUCAGCUUACUUUUUAUGGUUUCGAGCAGUCAGUUUUACGUUACGUACUAGGGAUCUCCUGAGCACAGUAUUAGAUAUUCUCAACUCCUGCAGUUUAUCUACAGAGCAUAUUCAGAGUUUGAAUGUGAACUCUCAGCCACACAAGGAAGCAAAAAGCACAGUGAACAGACCUAUCAAAUGGGAUAAGACUUAUUAUUCGUUUACUGGAUUCAAGGAUCCUGAGGAGGAACUAGAACAAGCCCAGAGAGUGGAAACAACUUUAAUAUCCUGGCUAGAUGAUAACGGAGCAAGUGCAGUAAAAAAGCUGAAAAAGAGUUUGCCGCUUAGAAAAGAACUAGAACGUUUAAAAUUUGAACUUUGUAAUGAACUCCAGCUCUCAGAUAUCAGGUGGCAGAGAAGCUGGGGUAUUGCUCACCGCUGUAGCCAGCUGCACAGUCUAGCUCGCUUAGUCCAACAGCGACCUGAAGUAUUAAAGAAUGUUAAAGGGCGCACAGUGGUAUUUACAGACCGCUCAGGUAUGAGUGCAGCAGGUCACAUAAUGCUGGGGACCAUGGAUGUUCACCAUCACUGGACCAAAAUUUUUGAGAGACUGCCAAAUUAUUAUAAGCUUCAAAAAAGGCUGCUGUUCUUGGAAGAUCGGAUAAGUGAACUUCUGGGAGGCAUACAAGUAAUAUAUAUUGAAGAACUGCAACCUUUGUUGACUCUAGAAGAGUACUACGAGACUCUGAACUCUUUCUGUAAUAAGUUACGUGACAGUAGACUGCCUUUUCAUCCUCGCAGUCUGCGAGGUUUGCAAAUGAUUCUGGAAAGUGACAGAUAUGCACCAAGCUUACAUGAAUUUGGACACUUUAUGAUCCCAACGGUCUGCGAUCCAGCUGCUCUUCAAUGGUUUAUUUUUGCCAAAGCACAGGAAGCAAGAGAGAAUCUGAAAAGAAAGGAGGAGAUGAUGAUUACAGAAAAAGAACUAAUUGAUACUUCCACUGAAAAAUUCUCUUUGGACCGGCUGUAUAAGGAGCCGAGUGUUUCCAGUGCACAGAUGAUAGAUUGUUGUAAGCGGCUGCUGGAAGAAUCGCUGCCAUACCUACAAGGCAUGCACCUUUGCAUUUCACAUUUCUACUCUGUGCUGCAGGAUGGAGACCUGUGUAUACCUUGGAACUGGAAAAACUGAGAGACAUAUCUGAUAAUCAGAUGAAUUGUUUAUUUUCUGUAAGAGGUUAUAAAUAUGAAUGUUUUUAAGAGUAAAUUAUUUAAAUCUGUAUUUUGAUAUCAGUAUUCAACAUACAAAUUUUCUUCCAGCUGCUGCUCAAGAAGGAGUGGAGUCCUAGACAAUUUGCACAAUGCACAGUAUUGGUAGUUCUGAAAAAGACAUUUGUACAUCAUCCAUGCUACUGUAGAAGUUUAAUGUAUGUUAGCAGUUGUGAAACUGCAUUUUUGUAGUGAAUUCUGAAAAUACAUUAAAUUGUGAGUCUCUAAAAAUGUGCAUGUGUAUUUUUGAUAUACAUGAAUAUUGCCACAUAGAUCACCUUAAAGAGUGUGCUAUUCAAAGCAGACAUUAUAUGUUAUCUUAAGGGAUUCAUUGAAUGCAGAAGUUCAAUACAUAAUUUGUCUUCUGGCAACACUGGCAUUUCAUACUGCUGCUUAUUACUGAAUUAGGAAAAAAACAAAAAAGCAAGGGAAAAACAACAGAAUAUUUCUACUUUGACGAAGAAAACAGUACAUUAACUUGGUCUCUACAGCACAGUUUCAUAUGCUGGUCCAACAGUAUUGCCUUAGAAUUCCAAAAUACACCAGUUGUACUGUCUGCAGUUACUUUAAAGCAGAUGUCAUUCUCUUUUUGUUUUCCAGCAUUUGCUCCAUAAAUACAGACAAUCCUCUUUACUUACACUAUAACAGAUUGCAAAUCCCAUUCACAACACUUAAAACCUGAGUACUUUAAUGUGACAUCUAAGGAAAGGAAGCAUUGAUUUGUGUGGGAUUGUCUGCAAGAGUAAGUAUUUCUCAAUAAGAACAAGGAGUUUGCAGUACGGCAAAUGGAUCUUUACUGGUACUUUGUUCUUUGAAAAAAAAAACCAUGAAAUAAAGUGUGAAUGUAUGUCAACACUUUUUCAUUGUAAUACAUGCCAAGAUGCAUUUUGGUAUUUGGAUUACUACUUUACAAAAUAUCUUUUGAGAAACACCAACUGCUUAACAUUUCUGCACUUGAAUUCAUCAUAACUGGCAAAAAAAAAAGAAAAAGAGGAAUUGUCAAAUGCUUACUUGCCUUGUCUUUUUAUUUGUAUUGAGCAGGGAAAUUGUUGUGGUUCUCUGUUUUCUCCUGUUAAAAGGCUCAGUGUCAAGUUGUUUGAUAUGUUGUCAAACUUAAAACAAAAAUUCUCACUGUGAUUUCAAAUGUGUGUUUUAAAACAUUGAGGCAGGAACUGUGACUUUUUCAGACCUUUAAUUCAGGGAUAUUACUGGCAAUUCCUUGUGUAGGUUUUGAAGGUCAGUUGAUAGUUUCUUCUAAGUAGUUAACUUCCAUUGCACGUUACCUCCCUCGCUCCAUGUAUCAUUGAUGAUCCUGUCCAUGUCCCCUCUGUGCUAAGCAAGUGAGCCAGUCCUAUCAGCUGUAGCCCAGCAAUAUUCCCUGUAAUAGCUCUUUGAAAGCAGGGUGUCAUUGGCAAUAAAAAGUGAAUGUAGUGGA
Molecule: RNA transcript, 3326 nt
Organism: Chiroxiphia lanceolata (lance-tailed manakin)
Lineage: Eukaryota; Metazoa; Chordata; Aves; Passeriformes; Pipridae
Gene: TCAIM
Gene name: T cell activation inhibitor, mitochondrial
Exons: 13
Source: RefSeq, a predicted model, not a curated record